RNAcentral lists this ribosomal RNA (263 nucleotides) under uncultured archaeon. Its description in RNAcentral is "partial 16S ribosomal RNA". It matches the Rfam family "Archaeal small subunit ribosomal RNA", at positions 748 to 1008 of the family's 1478-position model. The record is from RNAcentral.
CAGCCGUAAACGAUGCGCGUUAGGUGUAUCGACGACCACGAGUCGUCGAGGUGCCGAAGGGAAACCGUGAAACGUGCCGCCUGGGAAGUACGGUCGCAAGGCUGAAACUUAAAGGAAUUGGCGGGGGAGGCACCACAACAGGUGGAGCCUGCGGUUUAAUUUGGACUCAACGCCGGAAAUCUCACCGGAUAAGACAGCAGAAUGAUUGCCGGGCUGAAGACUCUGCAUGACUAGCUGAGAGGAGGUGCAUGGCGUCAGUGACU